RNAcentral lists this ribosomal RNA (324 nucleotides) under Staphylococcus aureus. RNAcentral's name for it is "partial 23S ribosomal RNA". It matches the Rfam family "Bacterial large subunit ribosomal RNA", at positions 1785 to 2108 of the family's 2925-position model. The record is from RNAcentral. Lineage: Bacteria; Bacillati; Bacillota; Bacilli; Caryophanales; Staphylococcaceae.
AAUAGGCCCAAGCGACUGUUUAUCAAAAACACAGGUCUCUGCUAAACCGUAAGGUGAUGUAUAGGGGCUGACGCCUGCCCGGUGCUGGAAGGUUAAGAGGAGUGGUUAGCUUCUGCGAAGCUACGAAUCGAAGCCCCAGUAAACGGCGGCCGUAACUAUAACGGUCCUAAGGUAGCGAAAUUCCUUGUCGGGUAAGUUCCGACCCGCACGAAAGGCGUAACGAUUUGGGCACUGUCUCAACGAGAGACUCGGUGAAAUCAUAGUACCUGUGAAGAUGCAGGUUACCCGCGACAGGACGGAAAGACCCCGUGGAGCUUUACUGUA